GGCGGCAGGCCUAACACAUGCAAGUCGAGCGGUAGCACAGAGAGCUUGCUCUCGGGUGACGAGCGGCGGACGGGUGAGUAAUGUCUGGGAAACUGCCUGAUGGAGGGGGAUAACUACUGGAAACGGUAGCUAAUACCGCAUAAUGUCGCAAGACCAAAGUGGGGGACCUUCGGGCCUCAUGCCAUCAGAUGUGCCCAGAUGGGAUUAGCUAGUAGGUGGGGUAACGGCUCACCUAGGCGACGAUCCCUAGCUGGUCUGAGAGGAUGACCAGCCACACUGGAACUGAGACACGGUCCAGACUCCUACGGGAGGCAGCAGUGGGGAAUAUUGCACAAUGGGCGCAAGCCUGAUGCAGCCAUGCCGCGUGUGUGAAGAAGGCCUUCGGGUUGUAAAGCACUUUCAGCGGGGAGGAAGGCGGUGAGGUUAAUAACCUCACCGAUUGACGUUACCCGCAGAAGAAGCACCGGCUAACUCCGUGCCAGCAGCCGCGGUAAUACGGAGGGUGCAAGCGUUAAUCGGAAUUACUGGGCGUAAAGCGCACGCAGGCGGUCUGUCAAGUCGGAUGUGAAAUCCCCGGGCUCAACCUGGGAACUGCAUUCAAAACUGGCAGGCUAGAGUCUUGUAGAGGGGGGUAGAAUUCCAGGUGUAGCGGUGAAAUGCGUAGAGAUCUGGAGGAAUACCCGGUGGCGAAGGCGGCCCUCUGGACAAAGACUGACGCUCAGGUGCGAAAGCGUGGGGAGCAAACAGGAUUAGAUACCCUGGUAGUCCACGCCGUAAACGAUGUCGAUUUGGAGGUUGUGCCCUUGAGGCGUGGCUUCCGGAGCUAACGCGUUAAAUCGACCGCCUGGGGAGUACGGCCGCAAGGUUAAAACUCAAAUGAAUUGACGGGGGCCCGCACAAGCGGUGGAGCAUGUGGUUUAAUUCGAUGCAACGCGAAGAACCUUACCUGGUCUUGACAUCCACAGAACUUUCCAGAGAUGGAUUGGUGCCUUCGGGAACUGUGAGACAGGUGCUGCAUGGCUGUCGUCAGCUCGUGUUGUGAAAUGUUGGGUUAAGUCCCGCAACGAGCGCAACCCUUAUCCUUUGUUGCCAGCGGUUCGGCCGGGAACUCAAAGGAGACUGCCAGUGAUAAACUGGAGGAAGGUGGGGAUGACGUCAAGUCAUCAUGGCCCUUACGACCAGGGCUACACACGUGCUACAAUGGCAUAUACAAAGAGAAGCGACCUCGCGAGAGCAAGCGGACCUCAUAAAGUAUGUCGUAGUCCGGAUUGGAGUCUGCAACUCGACUCCAUGAAGUCGGAAUCGCUAGUAAUCGUAGAUCAGAAUGCUACGGUGAAUACGUUCCCGGGCCUUGUACACACCGCCCGUCACACCAUGGGAGUGGGUUGCAAAAGAAGUAGGUAGCUUAACCUUCGGGAGGGCGCUUACCACUUUGUGAUUCAUGACUGGGGUGAAAU
Molecule: ribosomal RNA, 1457 nt
Filed under: uncultured organism
Description: SSU rRNA
Rfam family: Bacterial small subunit ribosomal RNA
Source: RNAcentral